Non-coding RNA from Arvicanthis niloticus (Nile rat), 3756 nucleotides. NCBI's taxonomy places the organism in Eukaryota, Metazoa, Chordata, Mammalia, Rodentia, Muridae. The record is from RefSeq and is a predicted model, not a curated record.
GCGCAGUGUGAUAGGGAUGGCGUAUUUUCUUGCACUGAGUAUUGCGGCGUCGCUGGCCGCUGAGGAGGGCGGAGAUUUCUGUGUGAAAUAGGGGGAGGGCUCCAAGGAAGCUUCAGGAAGAGCCGCAGUCUGAACAAUAAAGUGAGAAGUUGAUGUGGGUGCUGCUAGUCUCGUACCGGCGGCUUCAAGUCUGAGAUCAUCGUGGAACCGUCAACUUUGAAAUUUAUAAAACAUGGAGAAAACUAAAGAGAAGACUGAAAGAAUUCUUCUAGAGCCUUAUAGGUACUUACUUCAAUUACCAGGUAAACAGGUGAGAACCAAACUUUCACAGGCAUUUAAUCACUGGCUGAAAGUUCCAGAAGACAAGCUACAGAUUAUCAUUGAAGUGACUGAAAUGUUGCAUAAUGCCAGUUUGCUCAUUGAUGAUAUUGAAGACAAUUCAAAGCUCCGGCGUGGUUUUCCAGUGGCUCACAGCAUCUAUGCUCUUGUCCACCUAGAACCUGAACUCAACUCAAAGAUCUGUGUCCAGAGCGCAGGGACUAAAUGGAUGUACUUUACUCCCAGUAAAGCAUAUUUUAUGCAACACUACUUUCGGAAGAAUCACUAACUUUGUAUUGUUUAUCACUGUACUUAAAAAGGAAGCUGUGUCUGAAGAGAUAAUCUAUGAAACAAGGUUGUUACCUCUUUUGGGUUAAGUCAAUUGACUAUAAAGAACUGGACAUAAAAAAUGGAAUUAAGAGACUAGACAAACCUGUAAUACCACCACUGAGGCUGAGGCAAGAGGAUCAUGAGUUCAAGAACAGUCUGACCUCAUAGGAAGUUGGAGCCCAGCUGGAUUGCAUACUCAGACCUUUGUCUCAAAAAACAAAACUCCUGAGUUAAGGAAGCAGGGCAUUAUUGAAGGUAUUGUGAUGUUGCCUGCCUUGUGUGUGACAGCUCUGAGGAGAAAGGUAUCCUGGCAGUCGGAAGUCAAGGAAUAGCACAGAGACACACUGCAUAGCAAACCUAACACAAAAGAUUUAUUGGGAAAGACAAAAGAGGGCUACUGCCUCUGCUCCAGAGUAGAGAACUGAGCAGGAGGCAGGCUAUAUACAGUGUUUCUUAGUGGAGGUAAAGUUGGAGGAUGGCUUCCAGGAAGGCUGAGACUGGAAGGAUUUUGUGGCCUACUCUUGAGCUUUUUUAUGUAAGGUGGGGCCUGGCCACUCUCCUGCCUCAAGGGACUGAGAACAGCUGUUACUGCCAUCAGAGAAGUCUGGGGGGGUUAUGAGAGGGAAUUUGGUGGGGGAGGCCUAGCCACUCUUGCCUUAAGAGGCUUACAUCUCCCUUUUUGUUUAGUAUUGAUAAACAAUCAGGGGUCAGGAAAGGGGGGCAAAGUUAUCAUUAGACUACUUCCUGCUGGCUUGGAGCAUCCAAGUCCUUGGGGCAAGCUUGAUCUUCAACAUCGGGAUAAUCAAGAGUUACAGGCUGUGACUCUGGAGCUAGGGGUCUAUAAUCCUGUAAUAGCAACUGAUUAAAAGUCUGCUUAGAAAUCUUCUGGAUGUGUUAUUGAAGAAGUCUAGAAAAGAAGUUUAUAUGGCAGGGUGUGACCAGUAGGAUUAAGAAAAGGAGUAGAAGGGAGGCGCCAAGGAUAGUCUUCAAUUCCAUAUAGGACUGUCAGGGAUCCACUACUCAGAUGCAUUGAACUGUUUCUUAGGUCUUUGAAGAUCUGUUUUGAGUUGUCAGAUCUCACUUUUUACUAUAUGUGACUGGUUGACAUAAAAGCAGUAUUCCUCCUUGAGGAAGAGACAAAGACCACCUGUCUUUCACUGUUAGUAAAUCUGAUCCUUGCCAAUUUUAUAGCAAUGUGGUGGCUAGUGAGCCUACUUGGCCCUGGAGAGUGAGGAUGUUCUGAGCCACACAUUUGAGGUCCUGGAUGAACUGAGUUGAAAACUGAGAUAAAUAGCUAGGGAAGUAGUCCCACCAUUGAGAUGACUAUACCCAGAACUCCAAGAAAGGGUAUGACCUAGACAGUUUGUCAUGCCUUUCUGCUAUAAACUCUGUGAUAGGAACCAGCAAGGGUGCUUUAAUAGGAACCACCCAGAGUUUUGGAAAAAGGAAGAGCAGAAGUUCCAGACCACACAGCCGGUUGGCAGUGGUAAGAUGAGUGCCCGAGAGAAUCGGGGGGUUAUAAAUGUGUAGACAUAGGGCCUGUGUGGUAAUACUAAAGGGUAAGGUAUUACUGCAGUCUGCAGAAUCCAUUAUGCCCACAAAGCAUGUACCUGACGAGUAAAGUAGUUUGUGAUAGGAAAGAGAGCUGUGGAAGAGAUAAGGGCUGGUAGUGAUAUUUGGCUUAAAGAGCAAUUAAUGAGCAGGUGAUGUGAGAGAGUCUAAUAAGCCAAUGGGCAAGGCCACAAAUGGUGGUCAUGACUUUGACCCAGGAGGGACAUACAACCAACAUUCUUCAAAGCUGUCAGGCAGAGCAUUAUUGAAUAGCUGAUAUGUGGAGGUUAAGGUCUGAAAUGAGAUGUUAUGACACAGAGGUGGAUCAAUAUCAUCUAAGAGGGAUGAUAUUGGGGAUGUAAGGAUCUUUGAGGAGCAUAAGACCACUUCUUUUACUGUGUCUAUUACUAGUGGUUGAGAAAGUAGGGUGUGUACCCUCUGUAUUUUGAACAUGUCUGAUGGGCAGCUGUAAUAAAUGUUACAGUAAAAUUUACCAAUAACCCCUUCUUCCCAUCUGGGAUGCUAUGGAUCCUUAAGUAGAAUAUAAAAGAUUCUCCCAUUCUGCAUAAAAGAUAGAAUGCUUUUCUGAAUAUGCAUUAUGUCUCUUACAGGACUGAUAAGGACAGCCUCCAUAAGUCUGGCCAAUGUCAACAGUAAUCUCUGGUUUUGAUUUGAUCAUAGAGAAAGCAAACAUAGGGGUCAGGUGUUUUAGAAACUGAUGUAGGUGUUAUGGGAAAAAGUAUUAGCAACCUGCUGGUGAGUAGUCUUCAGACCCACCAUGUUGAACCAUUGAGUAUAGCUUUCAUUAACGUUUGAAAUCUUAAUAUACCAAUAGCAUAGAGAGGGGAAAGACAUCUGAAACAUUUUUUCAUUGCCUUAACUCACCUUCUUGUACCUUCAGAACUUUCAUUUACAUAACUUAAACCACUUUCUUAUACCUCUAGAACUUUCUUAAGUUUUUGAGUCCGUUCUACACGGCCUUGGACCCUCAGACUCACAUAAGCUUUCACAUCCUUAGUCUUUCAUUGUUUACAUAAGUUUUCACAUCCUCCAUCUAACCAUUUACCAGGGACAUGAACACUUACUACUGAGAGCAGUCUCUGCAAAGCAAGUUCCUUUAAGUCCUUUUGUUUGUUUUGUUUUGCUCUGUUCUCUGUCACAGUCAGGUGACCUGUCUGACACAGGUCAGAGAUUAUGGAGAAAACCUUUAAACAUGCUUGGGUCUAGAAGAGGGGGCAUCAUAACAACACCAGAGCCAGCUAUCCAAUAAAGCAGAAUAGCUCUCUGUUAAUUAUAAUUUAACAUUAUCCAUACCUAAAAGACAUUUGAAUCCCUGCUAAACUGAAUCUAGUGAUCAGAAAUCCAAGAGAGAAAUUCUGAGCCUUGACUCUCAAAGCUGAGAGCUGACAAUGGCAGAUAGAAAAAAAAAAAAAAAAAAAAAACACAGAGUUCAAAAAUCUCGCAUGCUUAAAAGAGACCACUCAGAAACAAAACAUGCGGUGAACACCAUCAUGCAUAAAUUCAAAUGAGCCUGACCCGUUUCCGUCUCAGCUCCCA